This 68-nucleotide transfer RNA is filed under the name Carabus smaragdinus. Its description in RNAcentral is "tRNA-Ser". It matches the Rfam family "tRNA". Rfam says of the family: Transfer RNA (tRNA) molecules are approximately 80 nucleotides in length. Their secondary structure includes four short double-helical elements and three loops (D, anti-codon, and T loops). The record is from RNAcentral. Lineage: Eukaryota; Metazoa; Arthropoda; Insecta; Coleoptera; Carabidae.
AGUUAAUGAACUUGAUAUAAGUAUAUGUUUUGAAAGCAUAAAAAAGAGGUCAACUCCCCUAUUAACUU